UGAAGAUGAGGGCAAUGGUCAGGUUCCUGGCUUUACUUGUUGAGUGACCAUACUGCAUUCUGGAAACAAAACAGUGAUAUCAGCUCUGCUUUGUCCAAGCUGACCGAGCCAGCAGCAACUGUGCCCAUUUCCAAACUGUCUGUCUCCAACAUGGUGCACAGUGCCCGGAAGCACAUUCGCCGCCAUUGACGCAUCGAUGAGUCGCCCCUUAACACCGAGAUACUCAAUUCUGUCCUUCUGAUGCUGCUGUGGAGAAGUCUGACUGUAAGAAUAACACUCAGCUGUCCAACUCCAGUGGGACAUCGGAGCAAGAGAAAACCUCUGAUUAUAACCUUUUCCACCAGCUGAAGUCAGCCCCCAGUGACAGUCUGACCUACCGUCUGGCUCUGUGUGUGUGUCUGGUCAACUAUUACUACGGUGGGCUGCGGGCUGUUGGACACCUCUGGCAGGAGUUUGUCCUUGAGUUGCGUUAGCGGUGGGAAAAUAACCAUCUUAUUUGUGGGCAGCCAACCCCGGCUGUGUCCUGGAGGAUUUUGUGCGCUGGUAUUCACCUCGGGAUUACGUAGAAGAGGAAGUGGUUGAUGAGAAGGGCAACACGAUGGUGACCGGGACACUCAGUCCCAGGAUGAAGAUCCCAGGCAACAUGUGGGUGGAGGCUUGGGAGACUGCCAGGGUCACACCUGCACGACGCCAAAAAAGACUUUUUGAUGACACCAAGGAGGCCGAGAAGGUUCUGCACUACAUGGCGAUGCAGAAACCUGCAGACCUGGCCCGUCACCUCCUGCCCUGUAUACUUCAUGCAACUAUUCUGAAGUUGAAGGAAGAAGAGUUUGCUGAAGAUAUUCCAUCAGUGCAAAAAACCAUUCAGCAAGCUACAGUUCAAGCGAGCAAGCUCCUGCAGUCCCCCAACCAGGACUACAAGAAGUUAGAGGAUUUCAUUAACCAGCUGCUGAGCAUGGAGACAGUCAUCACUCAAGCUCGCUCGCUCAAGGCCAAGUUCUCCGUUCCUGAGGACGACAGCGGAGAGGCUGCUGAUGAACUGAAGAAGUUUGUGAGCUCCCUGCUGGAGGAACCAGAGGUGGUAGUGACAGGAGCAGGCCAGGGCCUGGCUGGCAGUAUAAUCCACAGACUCUUCAUCAGUGCUCAGAGGGUGGAAGUUUGGAAAGCUGUGAGGGUCUCAGGCAAGGAGUGAGCAAAAAGCAGAGGCUCAGUUCUUUUCUCCUGUUCUAGUGGUGACAUCUUCAGAGAGCUUAGGAUAAGUGUCUCCUCCAUAUUUGGAGCUU
Long non-coding RNA from Maylandia zebra (zebra mbuna), 1283 nucleotides. RefSeq annotates it as rab3 GTPase-activating protein catalytic subunit. Lineage: Eukaryota; Metazoa; Chordata; Actinopteri; Cichliformes; Cichlidae. The record is from RefSeq and is a predicted model, not a curated record.